This 301-nucleotide ribosomal RNA is filed under the name uncultured bacterium. RNAcentral's name for it is "partial 16S ribosomal RNA". It matches the Rfam family "Bacterial small subunit ribosomal RNA", at positions 509 to 807 of the family's 1533-position model. The record is from RNAcentral.
CAGUCGCCGCGGGAAUACGUAGGGUGCGAACGUCAAUCGGAAUUACUGGGCGUAAAGCGUGCGCAGGCGGUUGUGUAAGACAGGUGUGAAAUCCCCGGGCUUAACCUGGGAACUGCGCUUGUGACUGCACAGCUAGAGUAUGGCAGAGGGGGGUGGAAUUCCACGUGUAGCAGUGAAAUGCGUAGAAAUGUGGAGGAACACCGAUGGCGAAGGCAGCCCCCUGGGCCAAUACUGACGCUCAUGCACGAAAGCGUGGGGAGCAAACAGGAUUAGAGACCCCUGUAGUCCCUGUCUCUUAUAC